UCCUGUAGAAACUCAGGGACUUACUUAGGAGAGUCCUACUGACUUUGAGGCGCAUAGCCUCUAGCAAAAAGAAUAUCAUUGUCUAAGUUCAAGUUCCAUUGGGAAGAUGGAAGCAAAAUGUGUAUUUGUGACACCACUGUCCCCUCUUUCUGCACCAUCUCCUACUUCCCCUGUCUUCCCAGAUGCCCAGGGGCCUAGCCUGCACCGUGGUGUCCCGUGUUCCUCUACAGGGCCCGCCAAAAGCCUGUCUUUCCUGGACAUACUCUGAAGCUAACCAAAUCUCAUCUUCUAACAAUUGUUACUACCCUGUAUCCUAUUACUUACGGACCCGUUUUUGUUUUGCUUUGUUUUUGUUUUGCUGGGUGAAAGAUAAUAAUCUGAAAAAUCCAUUUCUGGAGCUCAACUUGAAUGAACCACAUUCCAAGUGUUCCAUAGCUUCGUGUGGCAGGUGGCCACCAUAUUGGACAGUGCAGGGAUAGAGCAAUUACUGGCAAGCAGCUCUACUACCGGGGACUUCAUUUCCUGGCUACCUGCAUCACGGAAGGGCCAGCUGGAGGCAAAUGGACAUGGAGCCUAUUAAAGAUGGUACAAGAAGGAAGAAGCUUUGGUUUUUUGAAUCAUUACUUUGAAGAGAGCCUGCCAUCAACUGGAAGUAUUUGUUUUGGAUGUUGAACAAGCAAAGCAUGAAUUCGUUUGUUCAUUUGAACGGCUUUACAUUUUGGGGUUUAUUUUUUAGCCAUUCCUGUAGCCUAUCUAAUAUACCCACAUUUCCCUGUACCUGUGUUAAAUGGUUCUUCUAUUUCUUGCAGCAAGUGACACCCUAACCCAUGUAUGUGAAUAUCCGGGUAGCCAAGGCUUUGGAGAUGAGUGGUUCGUCUGUGUGUGUUUUACCUGGGACAUUUUUAGUCUGCAGACUUUAUUUGGAAAAAUAAGGCACUGAAAACAAAAUAGAGGAGGACAUGGAUAAGUUACAAAACUCUCAGAAGAAAACAUAUGACAAAAGCUUCAUAAUGUUGGAUUUGGCAAUGAUUUCUUGGAUGUGACACCAAACGCACAGGCAAUAAAAGAAAAAAUAGACCAGACUUCAUAAAAAUAAAAACUUUUGUGUGCCAAUAGACAGUAUUAACAGAAUCAAAAGAAUGUUUGGGAGAGAGUAUUUGCAAGUUAGAUAUCUGAUGAAAGAUUAAUAUUAAGAAUAUAUAAAGAACACCUAAAACUCAACAACAAAACCAACAACCCAAUUCAAAAAUGGGCUUGAAUAGACAUUUCUCUAAAGAAGGUAUUUGAAUGGCCAAUAAACACAUGUAAAGAUGCUCAACAUCACUAAUCAUGAGGUAAAUGCAGAUCAAAGCUGCAGUGAGAUGCCCCCUCAUACCCACAAAGAUGGCUACUAUAAAAAACAAACA
Long non-coding RNA from Zalophus californianus (California sea lion), 1406 nucleotides. RefSeq lists it as uncharacterized. NCBI's taxonomy places the organism in Eukaryota, Metazoa, Chordata, Mammalia, Carnivora, Otariidae. The record is from RefSeq and is a predicted model, not a curated record. The transcript is spliced from 3 exons.